RNAcentral lists this long non-coding RNA (1082 nucleotides) under Gopherus agassizii (Agassiz's desert tortoise). Its description in RNAcentral is "lncRNA (ENSGAGG00000015788.1)". Lineage: Eukaryota; Metazoa; Chordata; Testudines; Testudinidae. The record is from RNAcentral.
UAAGAAUUUGACCAGCUUUGCACCUAGUGCACUCAGCAGACACUUCAGACUGGAGAGAAUGUUUGCUUCAGAAAAUAUUAAGAGACCGUGAGAGCGUCAGUAACUUCCUUCCUGGCUGAGAUGAUAUUUCAGAGACGUUCACUUGGACUAUGAGGUCAGUAACGAGAGGCUUUCCUCCCGCCCUCUCUCUGCUGCAGCCACAUAUACUGAUUUUGAAGAGACAUGAAGUCAAGCAGGAGCUGCUGGUCUAUCCUCCUGUUCGUCAGUUUCUCCCAUGCUCUUCUCAUUGACAUUCCUCAGGAUUCAGUCAAUGGAACUGUCGGUCAUUCUGUCCUCCUGUCCAUCUCCUAUAGACUCCAGGGGCCAUUUUCCUCUCCUCUGUCCAUUCAGUGGAAUUUCAGUAACACCCCUGAUCCACUCACCAUGUACACAGUGACUAACUGUUCUGUCAGUGCAGAGGGGAUUCCCACCCGCUGCUCUGGACUUAAUUAUACACAUGAAGCAUACCAAGGCCGGACUGAAUUUUUUCCUGAAAAUGCUUCUCUGCUCCUUCGGAACCUGCAGCUCAGUGACCGCGGAGUCUACAGCGUCACCUUCAAAGCACCACAGCAAAGCAGACACAUCACAUUAACUGUAUCUGAAUCUCACCUGAACCAUGGAAAUGCAGAGGGUGGAAAAAGAGAAGAAACUAACCAAUCUCCAGACCAUCUCCUUGGACUUCAGAUCACUGGUGGCUUCUGUUUUCUCCUACUUAUCCUGUUGCUGCUCUUCUGCUGCAGACAGCAUAAAGGUGCAGUUCAACAGAGGAAGACAAGAGUCAUAGAGCAAGAAGAGAUCCCAAACCAUGAGGAAUCUCACAUGGAAAGUUCAUUACCAACAACGGUAUCAACAAUUUAUGCAAGGAUUGGAGAAGACACUGGGCAGCGGCAGCGCAGAUCAGAGUCACAGACUGAAUAUGCCUCUAUAAGCUUCUCUUAACAGGAACUGUAACCUCAACAUGCAGAGCUGGUUUUAGCCUCUCCAUGGUUCAUUCUGCAGCCAAAAAGGCCUGACUUUAGGGAUCCAUGAAAAUUGUGGCAACA